Molecule: long non-coding RNA, 1086 nt
Organism: Magnolia sinica
Lineage: Eukaryota; Viridiplantae; Streptophyta; Magnoliopsida; Magnoliales; Magnoliaceae
Exons: 3
Source: RefSeq, a predicted model, not a curated record
AGUACGGAACUUUGAUAGCAGCAGCUACACAGUAGUACAGAACUUUGCAUGUGGCUGCUUCAUGGGCCACAUGCAUUUUUUUUCCUGUAAAAAGUUAUGAUAACAAAAUGUUUGAUAUGAUAACUAACAGAAACUUGGUUUUUUCUUGUUGUUUUUUGCUCCAUGUGACUCCAACUGUUAGUCUUUGUUGAUUGUGUUUAAGAUUUUAAUUUCUAGGAAAUGAUUCUGCCAUGUAUCGAAAGAAGUGCAAAUAUUCCAGCAAUAGUUAACUCUAUUAAGGAGCUACAAUUGUUCUAUUAUUAGGCUAGAGGUUUGAGAAACAAUGGCUACAAUACCAAUGGUUUUGGUUUUGCCCCACCUGCUUCUCUUCCAGCCGAGUCUUCAAGAAAGGUUUAUAAUUCAUGCUGAUUUUUGCAUAAUGAUUUUGACCGUUCUCUAUAAAUAUGGCUGAUUGUUGUUUUCUUACAAUUGGAUGAGGUUCUCUUGCCCGAUCCAUUUGAUAGGCCACAUGCUGUUUUCAUGUUAAAAAUUGGAGGAAUCAAAGGUUCACAAACAUAUACAUUCAGUGUUUACCUUAGUCACAUUGUUUUCUGCAGUUAGUGAUUUUAUAAAGUUUCUUUCACCAACAGAUCCACUGUCGUUGCUUGACCAAUCAGAUUUCUGAGUUGGCGGUGCCUUGAGUAUGAAGGUUCUUAUUGAUUCAAAUGAAAGGCUUAAUCUGAACCGCCCAAUCUGUGGACCCGACUUCAGAUAUGAUGUCCAAAUCUCAUGUAAACACUCUUGGCUUGGAAAGUAAGGUUGCUUGCUAGGGGCCAACGAACAAUCCCCACUUCAAUUGAUGAGCUUUUUUGUGUUGACUAUGUACCGUUGGAGGGCGAUGUUUGGAUGGUGGUGGACACAUUAAUUUUAUUUUAACAGUUUUACAAGGUGAAGUGAUGUGGAAGAUGGGUGUGAAUCAUUUCGUAUGUUCAUAUUCUAUUAUUCUUUAUUUGUAUUAGUUUAGAUGGGCAUACGAGUUUGUAAGCCAUGAAAUCUUUUUCCGUAUUAGCCUAAAUGAGUUGAUCAAUCAGGGCAUGUACUAGCAAU